CAGCCCUGAGAUUCUGCAGCAUGAGGAGUGUCAGCUGGCUCUGGGCCACUUGGGCUUUUUCAGAACAGCUAAUGGGGCCUUUCAAAUGGCCAGUUUCCCUGCUAAAAAACAGCCCAAUGGUGGAACCAGAGAUGCUCCCAAGGAUGGAAAUCAGAGGGAGCAAGGAAGGAGGGAAACACACGCCCUUGGGAACCCCGGGCCAGGUGCGGCAACCGGCAGGACCUGGUGGCACACUAAGACCCAUGAGGCAUCCAAAGUGACCCACUGAUAGAGGACACACAGGAAAGGACUUGGUCCAGGCCACCAAGAAAGCAAACAAAAGUCCUUGUGCUGCAGCAACCUGUCAUUCAACCAACGUCUCCAAGAAGCUUCGUGAAACUCCCCUUAGAAACUGCUGCGGACUUCCAGGAAAGAUGGCACUGGUAGCUCAGCCUCGAGCACCCCCUCUGCUCCCAACACACAGCAGGGGUGGACCAAAUAGAAGAGCAGAAAACCAAAUUCUCAGGUCCAUCCAUCAUAGGCAAAAGUACUACACCUAGCCUCCCAUGUAAACAAUGACGAAAGUGGGCACUUAUGGGAAGCAACUCCCUCCAGGCUUCAGACAACACAGAGCAGAGCUGGGAUCCUGGAGGAAGGUGUCACAUGUCACACAGGCGAGUCCCACAUCCUCCCAGCCUCCCUGAUCAAGGACAUAUACAAAUGCUGGUCCAGGCAAGUGAAGUUCCAACAGCAGUGUUCUCACUGAGCAGAGGAAGCCAAAUAAAGGACAAAUAGAAUAUCGGUAAGGAAAUAGAAGUCACAAAUAACAUUAUCAACUAACUAAACUUGGUGUAUGUAAGACUCCAGACAAAAAUAUAAAAUUGCAUGGUAUUUUUAAUGUUCUCAUAAUAUUUACCAAGAUAAUUAUACUCUAGGUCAAAUAGGUCUCAAUACAUUGUAAAGAAUUUAAGUUUUGCAGAGUAUGUUUCGUGACCACAAUGGAACUAAAUUAGAAAGCAAUAUGGAAAGAUAUUGGGAAAUCACCAAUUAUUUGGAAGUUUAGUAAAAAUACUUCUAAAUUACACAGA
This 1067-nucleotide long non-coding RNA is filed under the name Marmota monax (woodchuck). Lineage: Eukaryota; Metazoa; Chordata; Mammalia; Rodentia; Sciuridae. The record is from RNAcentral.